UACGUAGGGGGCAAGCGUUGUCCGGAAUUAUUGGGCGUAAAGAGCGUUUAGGCGGUCCGGUAAGUCAGCUGUGAAAGUCAAGGGCUCAACCCUUGAAAGCCGGUUGAUACUGUCGGGCUAGAGUCCGGAAGAGGCGAGUGGAAUUCCCGGUGUAGCGGUGAAAUGCGCAGAUAUCGGGAGGAACACCAAUGGCGAAGGCAGCUCGCUGGGACGGUACUGACGCUGAGACGCGAAAGCGUGGGGAGCAAACAGG
This 253-nucleotide ribosomal RNA is filed under the name uncultured bacterium. RNAcentral's name for it is "partial 16S ribosomal RNA". It matches the Rfam family "Bacterial small subunit ribosomal RNA", at positions 524 to 776 of the family's 1533-position model. The record is from RNAcentral.